RNAcentral lists this ribosomal RNA (492 nucleotides) under uncultured bacterium. RNAcentral's name for it is "partial 16S ribosomal RNA". It matches the Rfam family "Bacterial small subunit ribosomal RNA", at positions 29 to 507 of the family's 1533-position model. The record is from RNAcentral.
AGUGAACGCUGGCGGUAGGCCUAAAACUUGCAAGCCGAACGGAAGCCCAGUAAGGGCUUGCUCUAAGGGGGGGGGGGUGGCGAACGGGGGGGGAUAAAACCGGAACCUCUUUUUUGGUGGGGGUAAAGGUGGGGAAACUUACGUUAAUACCGCAAAGGACCUAGGGGGGAAACAAGGGGUCCUUCGAACUUUGCGGGUUUAAAUAAGCCGAUGCCGGAUUAGCUAGUUGGGGGGGAAAAGGCCAACCAAGGCGACGAUCCGUAGCUGGUCUGAGAGGAUGAUCAGCCACACUGGAACUGAGACACGGUCCAGACUCCUACGGGAGGCAGCAGUGGGGAAUAUUGGACAAUGGGCGCAAGCCUGAUCCAGCCAUACCGCGUGGGUGAAGAAGGCCUUCGGGUUGUAAAGCCCUUUUGUUGGGAAAGAAAAGCAGCAGGUUAAUACCCCGCUGUUCUGACGGUACCCAAAGAAUAAGCACCGGCUAACUUCGUG